This 500-nucleotide ribosomal RNA is filed under the name uncultured bacterium. Its description in RNAcentral is "partial 16S ribosomal RNA". It matches the Rfam family "Bacterial small subunit ribosomal RNA", at positions 30 to 523 of the family's 1533-position model. The record is from RNAcentral.
AUUGAACGCUGGCGGCAUGCCUUACACAUGCAAGUCGAACGGCAGCACGGGAGCAAUCCUGGUGGCGAGUGGCGAACGGGUGAGUAAUAUAUCGGAACGUGCCUAGUAGUGGGGGACAACCAUUCGAGAGAGUGGCUAAUACCGCAUACGCACUCUGGUGGAAAGUGGGGGAUCGCAAGACCUCACGCUAUUAGAGCGGCCGAUAUCAGAUUAGGUAGUUGGUGGGGUAAAGGCCUACCAAGCCUACGAUCUGUAGCUGGUCUGAGAGGACGACCAGCCACACUGGGACUGAGACACGGCCCAGACUCCUACGGGAGGCAGCAGUGGGGAAUUUUGGACAAUGGGCGCAAGCCUGAUCCAGCCAUGCCGCGUGUGGGAAGAAGGCCUUCGGGUUGUAAACCACUUUUGUCAGGGAAGAAACGGCUUCGGUUAAUACCUGGAGCUAAUGACGGUACCUGAAGAAUAAGCACCGGCUAACUACGUGCCAGCCGCCGCGGUAA